UGUCAUCCGCCAUUGCACAAGACACGACACGCUCGCGUCGCCUAUUGGUUUCAACAACGGAGAAGCUUUCAGCCUGUCAUAGUUAAGAAGAUCCAGCAAGAUGGUCUGGGGCCAGAACCAGAAUCAACAGAACUAUGUGGGGCAAAUGGGAAUGGGAAACAUGAACAUGCAAGGCAUGGGCUCACUUGGAAUGGGAGCAGGUGGGAGGGGCAUUCUGGGGGAACCCCCUGUGUCAGGCAGCAACAUGGGUAUUAGUGGGCUCAACAAUAUGCAAGGAAUGAUGGGCAGCAGCAGCAGCAGUGACAACAUCGACACCAUGAUUCAACAGCGACGUCUUCAACAGCAACUUAGUUUGAGAGAGUCCCAGUUGGCUUUGGCAAGUAACUUGCUGCAGAAACAGAACCAGCUGAUUAUGGAUGUGGGGAUGCCUGGAAACAUUGGCCCAAUGUUACCCAGUCCACCAGGCAUGUCACGGUCAAUGAUUCCCUCCUUGCUUGAUAUGCCAUCAAGACAUAACAAGCGUUCAGUGCCAUCAAUGAACCGAGAUCUGGAUAUCAAGCGUCGACGAAGGGAUUCGUCUUCCCCAAGUGACCACCAGAGGGGGCGAAACCGCAGCUCAGAUUUCGAUAGAAGGCGAGAUUUGGACCGUUAUUCUCCUAAUCGAAGACGAGAAGAACACACAAGUCGCAGAGAUAGACCUAGUCGCUUCAGUCGACGAGAUUCAGAUGAAUUACCGCACCGAAGGAGUAGGAAUGAACAUGAGGAAUAUGAUCCUGCCAAGCCAACUGAUGAUGAGAUGCCGGGGCUUGAGCUAGCAGACAAAUAUCGCUUUGAUGAUCGUGCACAGAGGCCACCAGUCGGUGAGAAAUCUCCUUUCUACUGCCAUGUGUGUGACAUGGAGUGCUGCAAUGAACAGAACUUCCGGGAUCACAUGUCCAGUACAAGGCACAAGGACAGAAUGUCUGAUGUCCUGAACGUAACAAGCAAGAAAUCUAGUCAUGUCGAGGCACGCCUCAAAGCACAGGAGCAUCUGAAGCGCAUAGAAAGCACCAGAGUUGGCUUCUGCAAGGUGUGUGACCAGGAGCUUGGCAUCCCCUUCCUGCGACACAAGCUGACCACUCUACACAAGAAACCGGAGAUGCAGGUGAGGAAGGGAUGUGGCUGGUGUGGCGUGACGAACUUCCUUAACUUCUCCGAGGUCCUCAAACACAGAGAGAGACAGGUUCACAAGGAGAAUGCUGCUAAAUAUGGAAAGAAGCCAGAAGUAAAUUCUGAUACGAGGAGGACUGACAUGAGAUCAGGACGAUCAUCCAACCUAGUUACGGUAGAUAGUGUUGGUUACAGCCCGAAUGGAGAGGACAGAAGGUCUAGACCAAGGACAGCAGGUCGACCUGGAUAUUCCUCUAGAUCAUCUGCAUCGGGCAGAUCUGAGACAUCCCGAUCUGGAACAUCAAGAUCAGCUACGUCAGCCAAAUCUGACACUAAGGAGGUAGACCUAUGUCCUGAGUUGCAGUUUGAAGCGGAGACAGCUAUUGGUCAGAACUAUGUUAUUCCUGUGUCUGGUUUCUUCUGCAAGCUGUGUCACAAGUUCUACAACACCGAAACAGCUGCCAAGGUUACCCACUGUCAGUCGCAGGCACACUUCACCAUGUUCAAGAAGGCCAAAAAUGCUGCUAAAGCACGAGCCUUGGCUCAGAAGAAGACCUCAACUCCUGUCGGUGCUGAGGAUGAAACGAAACCGGUCAAGGAGGAUACAGACAGUGCCCAGGCUGAGCAGGAAGGGGAGGAGAAGGACAGGGAGGAGCAGGAGGCUGCUGAGAAGGAUGAGAAGACAGAAGAUGAGGGCCUGGAAGAGGCAGAGAACCAAAAUGGAGAAAAUGAAGAUGCCAAGGGUCCAAAUGAAAGUGAGGAUGGCCAAGGUGGGAUGGCCAAGGUGAGACAGAGGAAGGUCAAGGUCAGGCUUCUGAAGCUGCUGAAGAAUUUGACCAGGAUGAGGAAGCUAACGGAGGUAUGAAGGCAGAAGCUGAUGAUUAUCCUGAGGAGGAUGAAAAGCAUUUGACAGAGGAAGAGCAAGAGGAGAAGCUUUUGGAAAAGGAUGAUAAUGAGUCAGAGACUGGAGAAAUGCUGGGAGAUAUGUUUGCUGAUGACGAUGAAGAUGAUACUGCUAUUAUAGAUUUAGCAGAUGUGAGCUCAGAGGCAGCAGGUGAUGAGAAGGACACAGAGAUAUCUGUCCAAGAAUCUGAGGAGGUAGCAGAGCAGGUUGAUGAAGUUGUUGAGGAAGCCCCAGCCGCUGAUACCUCUCCUGUUGUUAAAGGAAGAGGCCGGGGUAGAGGCCGAGGAGUGGGGCGGAGAGGAAGAAGGGGAAGAAAGUGAAGGAACUGGGUGAAUCUGUGAGAGGAUGUAAGUGUGAGUUGUGUGAAUUACCUUUCUUGUGACACAUUUAAUUGAGCUUCUUUGGUAAACAUUGUCAUCUCUUGCAACUUUUUAGGCUUAAUGAAGUGUGGAACACGCAUCAUGUCAUCCAAAGUUUGAGUUGUUCAAAAAGCAGUCAAUUUUAACUCUGUUUAAUCAACUGCAACUUCACCUGCUUGUUCUUGUUCCAUACAACAAAUAUUGGACCGGGUUAUUUUCAUAUUGUUCACAUUGAUUUACAAUACUUGUUAAAUUAUUCAUUAGAACUCUAUAUUGCUUUCAUACUUCAGUUGUACAUAUACAUGGCAUAUGUACCUAUUUGGAUGGGUAACAAACAAUUUAGUCUCCAGUGCGAAUCCUACAGAAAUAAGAACCUUUAUACCGAGUUGUAUCAUCAAGUUGUCAAUGUAAUUAUUGUCAGUUAAAACCACCCCUGCUUCAGCUGUCAUUUAUGUAGUGUGUUACUAGGUGACAAUUCCCUGUAAAUAGUUUUGCAUGUUGUCACCCUAAAUGUACUUAAUACUUUUCACUCCAAAGAAGAUGGCACAGUCUCUGCUACAACUUGCCAUAGUCAGUGUCUGUUUUUAAGGAAAUGUUUUGUUACAAAUUUUGAAACGUUUCAUUAUGCUGCUAUCAAGUCCUCUUGAUAAUUGUUAUUGCUUUCACAUAACUGUGCUGAGAGUUGUCUAUUAGGUUUAGGUUGUUGCAGUGAAAUAUUUUCAGGGGCAAGAAUUAAUUUGUGUUGACUUGGAUAGAAAUGGAAUUUUGUCGAAGAUUGUUGUUUGGCACCAGACAGAUAGUUUACUAUGUAUCACAAUAGUUGUGCCAUUUCACUUUAUUAAUAAAUCAGUAAACAUGUAGACCUGUGAGCUGGAUUUCUAAACAGUGUCAUGACUGCAAGAAUAGUUACUGGUAACCUUCAUUUGUCCUGGACCCAGAAACUUGCCGGAAACUGUUGUCACCCGAAACGAGAUUUCGCUUCACAGGCACUGUGAUUCAAAAUUGUUAUGCCCUUGUGAAGCUGUGAGACUGAGAGAGUGCCACUGAGAAAUAGUUUGAUGGGGUUCAAAAACAUGUUUUCUGUUAUUUGAGUUCUCAAACUUAUUGCAGUUUCUGAUAUAUGAAUUGUGGCGAUGGUAAUCUGUAUAAUUUUAGGUGUGCAGCCAGGGCACUGAAAAUACUUCACCUGUGCUAUUUCAAUAUUUACUGUGCCAUGUUCUGCAAAUCCAGCAUUAUUUUGAUCACUGAUGUUGGUAAUUUGUUUGAAUUUAUUUCUUGUGAUCAAGAUUGUCAUUUCACUGUACCAUUUCAGCAAACAUUUGGAAAAAAUAUUUCCAUGUGUUGUGUUAUGUAUUUUUCUAUUUUGAUAAUAAGAUUGAAUCAAAGCUCUGAUAUUGGUGCAAUGUUCUUUUUGCUGAACAAAAAGUCUGAGUCGACUAAUAUAACAUCCUGAAGAUCUAAUAUAGCUAAGCACAUGACAUUUGCUUUCAACAAAAUGUAUGAAUACAUUAGAAAUAAAAAUGUUGUUGUACCAGA
Molecule: unclassified non-coding RNA, 3948 nt
Filed under: Haliotis rubra (blacklip abalone)
Lineage: Eukaryota; Metazoa; Mollusca; Gastropoda; Lepetellida; Haliotidae
Description: zinc finger RNA-binding protein-like, transcript variant X1
Source: RNAcentral